GGGUUGUGAGGUUAAGCGACUAAGCGUACACGGUGGAUGCCCUGGCAGUCAGAGGCGAUGAAGGACGUGCUAAUCUGCGAUAAGCGCCGGUAAGGUGAUAUGAACCGUUAUAACCGACGAUUUCCGAAUGGGGAAACCCAGUGUGACUCGUCACACUAUCAUUAACUGAAUCCAUAGGUUAAUGAGGCGAACCGGGGGAACUGAAACAUCUAAGUACCCCGAGGAAAAGAAAUCAACCGAGAUUCCCCCAGUAGCGGCGAGCGAACGGGGAGGAGCCCAGAGCCUGAAUCAGCAUGUGUGUUAGUGGAAGCGUCUGGAAAGGCGCGCGAUACAGGGUGACAGCCCCGUACACAAAAGCGCAUGUGCUGUGAGCUCGAUGAGUAGGGCGGGACACGUGGUAUCCUGUCUGAAUAUGGGGGGACCAUCCUCCAAGGCUAAAUACUCCUGACUGACCGAUAGUGAACCAGUACCGUGAGGGAAAGGCGAAAAGAACCCCGGCGAGGGGAGUGAAAAAGAACCUGAAACCGUGUACGUACAAGCAGUGGGAGCACCUUCGGGUGUGACUGCGUACCUUUUGUAUAAUGGGUCAGCGACUUAUAUUCUGUAGCAAGGUUAACCGAAUAGGGGAGCCGCAGGGAAACCGAGUCUUAACCGGGCGUUAAGUUGCAGGGUAUAGACCCGAAACCCGGUGAUCUAGCCAUGGGCAGGUUGAAGGUUGGGUAACACUAACUGGAGGACCGAACCGACUAAUGUUGAAAAAUUAGCGGAUGACCUGUGGCUGGGGGUGAAAGGCCAAUCAAACCGGGAGAUAGCUGGUUCUCCCCGAAAGCUAUUUAGGUAGCGCCUCGUGAAUUCAUCUCCGGGGGUAGAGCACUGUUUCGGCUAGGGGGCCAUCCCGGCUUACCAACCCGAUGCAAACUGCGAAUACCGGAGAAUGUUAUCACGGGAGACACACGGCGGGUGCUAACGUCCGUCGUGAAGAGGGAAACAACCCAGACCGCCAGCUAAGGUCCCAAAGUCAUGGUUAAGUGGGAAACGAUGUGGGAAGGCUCAGACAGCCAGGAUGUUGGCUUAGAAGCAGCCAUCAUUUAAAGAAAGCGUAAUAGCUCACUGGUCGAGUCGGCCUGCGCGGAAGAUGUAACGGGGCUAAACCAUGCACCGAAGCUGCGGCAGCGACACUGUGUGUUGUUGGGUAGGGGAGCGUUCUGUAAGCCUGUGAAGGUGUGCUGUGAGGC
RNAcentral lists this ribosomal RNA (1235 nucleotides) under Salmonella enterica. RNAcentral describes it as "partial 23S ribosomal RNA". It matches the Rfam family "Bacterial large subunit ribosomal RNA", at positions 1 to 1269 of the family's 2925-position model. Lineage: Bacteria; Pseudomonadati; Pseudomonadota; Gammaproteobacteria; Enterobacterales; Enterobacteriaceae. The record is from RNAcentral.